UGCCCUGCCCUGCGGGGAGGGGCAGGCAGUGCCUAGGAGCUGCUGCGGGGGCACCAUCUGGACCCGGGCCUGGCACCGUCACUCCACAAAAAUCGUGAGCGGGGCCCUUCCCUUCCCAGGGAGAGAGGAGCGGGGGGUUUGGAGAGUCUCCCAGACAGGAGGGCGGGUGGAAUGUAGGUCAACUCCUGGCUGCCGGAAAGAGUGAUGUCAUCCACUCCUUGGGGGGAACGAUGGAGGAAGCGAACUGGGUGGGGCUCAGUCCCCUGUCCGCUGUUGGUGGCAGUACUCUCCUCCGAAGUCCCUUUGGCUACACCUACUAUGAGCUGAGCUUCUCAUUCCUGCAUGACUGUUGACUGAUGAAGGGACAGAGGACAGAGCUGGAGAUGAAGCUGAGGAGUUCCACUCGGCCCCCAGGUGGGGAAACUGAGGCCUGGAGAAAUGGAAGAGACUUGCCAGAAAAGAGCAAAUGGAAAGAGCUGGAAUCUCAGGCAGUCUGCUCGCUGGCCCCGUGAUCUGCCACUCUUUACUCAGGACAAAGGGACUCCUGUGAGUCACCAGGGUGGGCCACCCUGGGUUGGCAGGAUGGACAUGGAGUCUCUAGAAGGUGUUAGAAGCAGGGUUUCUGACCUAAAUAUGAAAUCAGUCAGCCUUUCCUCCUUACGCAUGCUGGUGGGCCCUCUGUCCUGUCAGCUCUCCGCCCACCCCAAUCACUUCCUCAGCUCCUGUCCCCAGUGUCCCUCCCGCCCUCCCCGCAGCUAUCUUCAGUCCUGGUGGAUUCUUCCCAUCCCAACGCCAACGCUGCCGCGCCUCCCGCCUUUCAGAAAGAACCCUCUCCCCUCCCCAUUCCCCCAGCAGCUCACACCCCAUCUCCCUGCUCCCCUUCCGAGCCAAAUGUUUUCAAAGCUUGCCUACACCCCCUCUUUUUCACCUCUUAUUCACUCUUUUAAAAGUGUUGGCAUUCGCCCCUGAAACCACCCCACGACGGCCUUCAUCCCGGGCUCUGCUCUGGGUACCUCUGCUGUGACCCCCAUCUUCCCAGGUCCAUGGGCCCACGCUGGCUCCUCCACUUGGCCCCUGGGCGGCACGGACACAGGUGGCCGCUGCCCUGGAGGCACGGCUCUCGCGUGGUUUUGGGGCACCGCCCUGCCAGAUCCCCCUCUCUCUGAUCUCAGGGCUGCAGACCGCCCGGCUCCCCGGCUCUCCUCUCGGAAGUCUCGCACGCCCCCACGGCGGGCGUCAUCGGCACGGCGGAGCUAAGGACUCCCUGCGCCCAGUCUCGCCUGCGCUUCACACUCAAAAGGCCCAAAUGCUCCGGAUGCCUCCAAAACGCUCACAACCAACAGGUCCAAAAUAGAAGUCAGGCUUCCUCCAGUGCACAGCCGCGCUGGAAGACGGCCUGGCAGUUUCUUACAGAGUUAAACACGCUCACCAGACGACCCAGCCGUCCACACCUGGGUGCUUACCCAAGAGAAGCGAAAACUUAUGUUCACCCAAAAACCUUGCCACCAAUGUUUAUAGCAGCUCUAUUCAUAAUCACCCCAGAGUGGGAGCCACCGAGACGUCCUUCCACGGAGACUGGGUAAACAGACCACGAUGUGCCGCGCACACAGCACAGUCCUACUCACGAGUGACGAACCUAAGCCACGCGGGUGGCCACGCCAUGAGCCUCAGAGGCAUGUCCAGGACAAAGGAGACCCCUUGAAAAAACCACCUGCCGCACGACUCCACUUACAGGAGAUUUUCAGAAAAGAUGGGGAGCAGAUUGAGGACUUCCAGGGGUUUCAGGACGGGGACCGUGGGUGGCUCAAAGGGUAGCAUAGGGAGUUUUUGGAGACACAGGCUGUGGUGGACCCAGGCUGUGGUGGCAGUUACAUGAAGCUAUCCACGUGCUAAAAUCCCUAGAACUGUACCCCCCAAAGGUCCAUUUUGCUAUAUGAAAUAUAAAAAUAAAAAAAUUAAGAAA
Non-coding RNA from Macaca mulatta (Rhesus monkey), 1963 nucleotides. The record is from RefSeq and is a predicted model, not a curated record. Lineage: Eukaryota; Metazoa; Chordata; Mammalia; Primates; Cercopithecidae.